RNAcentral lists this ribosomal RNA (504 nucleotides) under uncultured bacterium. Its description in RNAcentral is "partial 16S ribosomal RNA". It matches the Rfam family "Bacterial small subunit ribosomal RNA", at positions 29 to 523 of the family's 1533-position model. The record is from RNAcentral.
AUUGAACGCUGGCGGCAGGCCUAACACAUGCAAGUCGAACGGUAGCACAGAGAGCUUGCUCUCGGGUGACGAGUGGCGGACGGGUGAGUAACGUCUGGGAAACUGCCCGAUGGAGGGGGAUAACUACUGGAAACGGUAGCUAAUACCGCAUAACGUCGCAAGACCAAAGUGGGGGACCUUCGGGCCUCACACCAUCGGAUGUGCCCAGAUGGGAUUAGCUAGUAGGUGGGGUAAUGGCUCACCUAGGCGACGAUCCCUAGCUGGUCUGAGAGGAUGACCAGCCACACUGGAACUGAGACACGGUCCAGACUCCGACGGGAGGCAGCAGUGGGGAAUAUUGCACAAUGGGCGCAAGCCUGAUGCAGCCAUGCCGCGUGUAUGAAGAAGGCCUUCGGGUUGUAAAGUACUUUCAGCGGGGAGGAAGGCGGUGAAGUUAAUAGCUUCACCGAUUGACGUUACCCGCAGAAGAAGCAACGGCUAACUCCGUGCCAGCCGCCGCCGUAA